Molecule: small RNA, 81 nt
Filed under: Flavobacterium urumqiense
Lineage: Bacteria; Pseudomonadati; Bacteroidota; Flavobacteriia; Flavobacteriales; Flavobacteriaceae
Description: Flavo-1 RNA
Rfam family: Flavo-1 RNA
Source: RNAcentral
UUUUUGCGUAAGGGAUAGCAGUGAAAAUCCUUUUGUGAAGCGAAGCAGAAUAAAAGAUUGCAACGGAUAGCCCGACCUUGU